This 715-nucleotide long non-coding RNA is filed under the name Mus spicilegus (steppe mouse). RNAcentral describes it as "lncRNA (ENSMSIG00000004169.1)". The record is from RNAcentral. Lineage: Eukaryota; Metazoa; Chordata; Mammalia; Rodentia; Muridae.
UGAAAACUCUGAAAGACAAAUAACAAAACUUCUCUCUGAUAUAUAGUGAAUGUGUGUGUAUGUCUGUGUGUCACACAUGAGUAUGUAUAAGGAGACAUAGAGGAAUUACAGGUGGUGAAGGAUGGGGAUGACAAAGCAUACAUAGGGCAUACAUGACAAUAAAAGGCAUUAUGAUGAAGGCGUCAUAUUUAUUACAGCUGUUAGGGUUGCCAUGUCCUCAGCCUGAAGCUUUUAGCACAAAACGUAGGGUGAACAUCAUUUCAACACAUUACUUAUUAACUGACAUGUCCAGCAUCUCCAGGAGAAAAGUAUCUCGUUCAUUUUCCCAAAGACUAAAAUUCAGUUCUAUAAAACAAUUACAUAUUAGAACUCUGGGUGCUUCUAAGAUCAAUUCUAGAAUCUUAAAAUUCUUACUAGCACUUGAAAACCUCCUGUUCACUCUUUCACUGAAGAUUUUGACAGAGCAGGCUGCUACAGUUCCAUGUGUGCUACAGAAAAUUUAAACACUUCUAAAUCAGAGAAGCCAGAGGGUGGUCAGGAAGAGGAUUGGAGGUGAAGCAUGCUAAAACAGCAUCUAGUUGAUGAAGUCUAGGCAGGUAAGGCUAGAAUUUAAGUGGCCAGUGAUGAGGCUGUGAAUCAUCAUGGAAAUAGUAAGCCAAGAUUAGAUAACUUUAAUUAAAUACUAAAUCAGUCCAUAAUCAACAAAGAGCAGAAG